UGACAGCCGUAGUCAUAUUUUGGGGAUGUCAAAAUUGGCCUCAAAAUACAGAAUAAGUACCAUUUCCCAUUGUUGAAAGUACACUUUGCUUCUUUAUUACAUUUGUUUCUUUAUCUUCUCUAUAGUCUAUUAUAACUGUAUUUCUUUUCAGGCUGGCUAAAGUUCAAGAAAAUACUAUUGCUUCUUUAAGAAAUGCUGCUAGUCAUGGUGCAGCCUUUGUAGAAUUUGAUGUACACCUUUCAAAGGACUUUGUGCCUGUGGUAUAUCAUGAUCUUACCUGUUGUUUGACUAUGAAAAAGAAAUUUGAUGCUGAUCCAGUUGAAUUAUUUGAAAUUCCAG
Molecule: small RNA, 339 nt
Filed under: Pongo abelii (Sumatran orangutan)
Lineage: Eukaryota; Metazoa; Chordata; Mammalia; Primates; Hominidae
Description: retained intron
Source: RNAcentral